AACGAACGCUGGCGGCAGGCCUAACACAUGCAAGUCGAACGCCGUAGCAAUACGGAGUGGCAGACGGGUGAGUAACACGUGGGAACGUACCCUUCGGUUCGGGAUAACUCAGGGAAACUUGAGCUAAUACCGGAUACGUCCGAGAGGAGAAAGAUUUAUCGCCGAGGGAUCGGCCCGCGUCUGAUUAGCUUGUUGGUGAGGUAACGGCUCACCAAGGCGACGAUCAGUAGCUGGUCNGAGAGGAUGAUCAGCCACAUUGGGACUGAGACACGGCCCAAACUCCUACGGGAGGCAGCAGUGGGGAAUAUUGGACAAUGGGCGCAAGCCUGAUCCAGCCAUGCCGCGUGAGUGAUGAAGGCCCUAGGGUUGUAAAGCUCUUUUACCCGGGAAGACAAUGACUGUACCGGGAGAAUAAGCCCCGGCUAACUUCGUGCCAGCCGCCGCUGUAAC
This 450-nucleotide ribosomal RNA is filed under the name uncultured bacterium. Its description in RNAcentral is "bacterial SSU rRNA". It matches the Rfam family "Bacterial small subunit ribosomal RNA", at positions 29 to 524 of the family's 1533-position model. The record is from RNAcentral.